This is a small nucleolar RNA of Sparus aurata (gilthead seabream), 71 nucleotides long. Its record names the gene SNORD18. It matches the Rfam family "Small nucleolar RNA SNORD18". Rfam says of the family: U18 is a member of the C/D class of snoRNA which contain the C (UGAUGA) and D (CUGA) box motifs. It is encoded in introns of ribosomal protein L1 in Xenopus and human, and in introns of elongation factor 1 beta in yeast. NCBI's taxonomy places the organism in Eukaryota, Metazoa, Chordata, Actinopteri, Spariformes, Sparidae. The record is from Ensembl.
CAACUAUGAUGAUUUUCUACUUCAGGUCCGUGUUUCUGAAAUUCUGUGAUAUUUAACGAAGUUCUGAGUUU